Molecule: transfer RNA, 73 nt
Filed under: Ailuropoda melanoleuca (giant panda)
Lineage: Eukaryota; Metazoa; Chordata; Mammalia; Carnivora; Ursidae
Rfam family: tRNA
About the family: Transfer RNA (tRNA) molecules are approximately 80 nucleotides in length. Their secondary structure includes four short double-helical elements and three loops (D, anti-codon, and T loops). Further hydrogen bonds mediate the characteristic L-shaped molecular structure. tRNAs have two regions of fundamental functional importance: the anti-codon, which is responsible for specific mRNA codon recognition, and the 3' end, to which the tRNAs corresponding amino acid is attached (by aminoacyl-tRNA synthetases). tRNAs cope with the degeneracy of the genetic code in two manners: having more than one tRNA (with a specific anti-codon) for a particular amino acid; and 'wobble' base-pairing, i.e. permitting non-standard base-pairing at the 3rd anti-codon position.
Source: Rfam by way of RNAcentral
GCCUGGCUGGCUCAGUUAGUAGAGCAUGCGACUCUUGAUCUCAGGAUUGUGAGUUUGAGCUCCACGUUGGGUG